UACGGAGGGAGCUAGCGUUGUUCGGAAUUACUGGGCGUAAAGCGCACGUAGGCGGCUUUGUAAGUUAGAGGUGAAAGCCCGGGGCUCAACUCCGGAAUAGCCUUUAAGACUGCAUCGCUUGAAUCCGGGAGAGGUGAGUGGAAUUCCUGGUGUAGCGGUGAAAUGCGCAGAUAUCAGGAAGAACACCAAUGGCGAAGGCAGCUCUCUGGGACGGUACUGACGCUGAGACGCGAAAGCGUGGGGAGCGAACAGG
This 253-nucleotide ribosomal RNA is filed under the name uncultured bacterium. RNAcentral describes it as "partial 16S ribosomal RNA". It matches the Rfam family "Bacterial small subunit ribosomal RNA", at positions 524 to 776 of the family's 1533-position model. The record is from RNAcentral.